This is a long non-coding RNA of Microtus ochrogaster (prairie vole), 437 nucleotides long. RefSeq lists it as uncharacterized. NCBI's taxonomy places the organism in Eukaryota, Metazoa, Chordata, Mammalia, Rodentia, Cricetidae. The record is from RefSeq and is a predicted model, not a curated record. The transcript is spliced from 3 exons.
CAAAAUAGUGCCUGUUGCCCCAGAUAAUGAGAGUUGGAAUAAUCCAUCUCAGCUGAAAUGGCCAGCGAUGUGAAUUAGCUGCUGAGCAGAACGGACUGCAUGCUGGGGCCAGAGCAUGUGCGGUCACUUUCUCUACUUCCUGCUUUGAGAUGAUGUGCUUUUAUCAAAUGGAAGUGCUCUUGGACAACUAAGCCCCACGUCCUUUCCCAUCCCACAAAUAAUAUCUAUAUAAGGCACACUCCAGGACAAAAAAUUAGGGUGCACUGCAUAACGUGGAUUUAAUGAAGGGGCCAUUAGGAGUGUGGAGAAUUCCAGCACAACAUGGUACCUACACCAGGACAAUGAAGGUGCAAGUAUAAAGUGAUAUAUAGAGAUGGCCAGGUAUCAGAAGUGUGAAAUGCAGAGAUGGGCUAGAGGGAAGAAUAGAGCUAGGCUGG